GCCAGCGCCCUGGGGACAGCGCCCCACGUCCCACCCUGCCCUUGAGUGCAGAAUCUCCGAGGUCUUUCUCUGCAUCUUCCUGAUGGGAGCAACGACAUUUGCAGGGACCAGAGCUGGCAUCGUACCCAUUCUCAGCUACAGGAGUCAGCUGCAAAUGUCCCCUGGAGUGGAGUGCAGCAGCAGAGUUUCCCCAAGAACAAUCUUCAGUUCUUCUAAAACCACUCAUGUAACUUUACUUUUCAGAAGCAGCAUCAGUAGGAGAACCAGGGACCUCAGUGCUUAAGAUGCCCCUGGUGCCCUCCCCAGUGCCACCUACUCUGCCAGCCACCAGCUCCAGGGGCGAGCACCAGCCUCAUCUGCAGAGCACUCACAACCUUCAAAUGAUCAGAGUCACUUUUUAGUAUUCUUGGCUCAUCAUUGGUUGAAUCUUUGGAUGCAGAACCUGAAGACACCGAGGGACAGCUAUUAUGAAAAACCCACCAGAAAAAUGAAAAUGCUGCCUUGAAAACACCAACUUCAUGCCAAAGAAUGCAGCAAGGGUGGACUAGAGGAGCAAUGUGACACAGGAGAUGCCCAGUAAAAACUAAUGACAAGUAUAAAUCCAGAUGGACCAGUGAUGCCAUCAAAGGUGAAUGGGUUACAAAAUGCAGUGAAAACUUGCACAAUAUUGCACAAGAGGAGAAUAGGAUCUGCCCAGGUGCUGUCUACAAGAGGCACAGUUCAGAUUCACGAUAAAGAUAAAUUUAAGAUAAAUGGGUGGAAAAUUUUAUAAAAAUAUAUGGGAAAAGAUAUCAAAACAAAGUGUCUCCACACGGCUAAUGAGAUGAAAUGUCACACAUCAAUGGCAGCACUCUUCAACCAGGCAAGGGGAUGUCUGUCACAGACCUUACUUUAAAGGCCCCAGUGGCCCAGACAAAGCAGAAAUCGGAAAACGGUGUGCGCCUGGGUCACAACAGGUCCCUAUGCGUCCACCUGGAGACCAAGUCAGGUCAGGCCCCAAGAAAAGCUGCUCUGCGCUGCUCCAUUCCUGCUCCCAAACAUGGGUGCUUCGGGGGAGCCUCGGGUCCGCAGUGAGGAGGCAGGGAAGCCAGCUGAUGUUCUCUCAGAAAACACAAAGCCAACGUUCCUAGAUAACACAACACCAUUUCUGGGUGGGGACAGCCAUCUACUUUCUCGUUUCUCUCUGUGUUCCAAUUUGUGCUCCUAGAAAUACUCAUGAAAUUUCACGCUGUCACCAAUAUUUGGAUUUUUUUAUUGAGCAAU
Molecule: long non-coding RNA, 1263 nt
Organism: Chinchilla lanigera (long-tailed chinchilla)
Lineage: Eukaryota; Metazoa; Chordata; Mammalia; Rodentia; Chinchillidae
Exons: 5
Source: RefSeq, a predicted model, not a curated record